CAUAUCACGUUGAAAAACACCGGUUCUCGUACGAUCACUGAAGUUAAGCAAUAUCGAUCCUGGUCAUUACCUAAAUGGGUGACCGCUUGAGAAUAACUGGUAU
This is a non-coding RNA of Acanthosepion pharaonis, 103 nucleotides long. The record is from the annotation of a GenBank genome assembly. NCBI's taxonomy places the organism in Eukaryota, Metazoa, Mollusca, Cephalopoda, Sepiida, Sepiidae.